RNAcentral lists this ribosomal RNA (253 nucleotides) under uncultured bacterium. RNAcentral describes it as "partial 16S ribosomal RNA". It matches the Rfam family "Bacterial small subunit ribosomal RNA", at positions 524 to 776 of the family's 1533-position model. The record is from RNAcentral.
UACGUAGGGACCGAGCGUUGUCCGGAAUCAUUGGGCGUUAAGAGCGUGUAGGCGGCUAUUUAAGUCCUGCGUGAAAUCCUGCGGCUCAACCGCAGACGGUCGUGGGAAACUGGAUGGCUAGAGUGCGGGAGAGGAGAGUGGAAUUCCCGGUGUAGCGGUGAAAUGCGCAGAUAUCGGGAAGAACACCCGUGGCGAAGGCGGCAUCCUGGACCAAUAUUGACGCUGAGGAGCGAAAGCCAGGGGAGCAAACGGG